AUGGAACGCCUCUCUCGGCGUCAGCGGUUCACACCCUCUCGACAUCGGGCUGCCGCCCCUCUGCGGCGACGAGAACCUCGACGUCGGCCUGCCGCUCCUCCUCGGGGACAGGUGCACCUCCUCCAGCGCCCGGUGCUGGAGCUCCGGCGGGUAGUCCCUGACGCAAAUGAUCCGGGGUCCGGCGCCGGUGGUCCACUUGAAGGACCCUUGCUUCCCCAGCUGAUAUGA
RNAcentral lists this ribosomal RNA (228 nucleotides) under Triticum aestivum (bread wheat). RNAcentral's name for it is "partial small subunit ribosomal RNA". The record is from RNAcentral. Lineage: Eukaryota; Viridiplantae; Streptophyta; Magnoliopsida; Poales; Poaceae.